Brassica oleracea var. oleracea is the source of this 1192-nucleotide long non-coding RNA. RefSeq lists it as uncharacterized. The record is from RefSeq and is a predicted model, not a curated record. The transcript is spliced from 5 exons. NCBI's taxonomy places the organism in Eukaryota, Viridiplantae, Streptophyta, Magnoliopsida, Brassicales, Brassicaceae.
GUGCAAAAUUGAAACCUAAUAGAAACCUAAAUUUUUGUCUUCAUGAAGGUCGAAAUGGUUUACUCUCCAAUCGACACAGUCCUAUCUGAAUUACUACCUUCCUCUAGGACCUCUCCUAUUCAAAACCCUGACGGAGAAUUUCACGGUGAGGAUUCAUAAAACAGAGAACCGUGAACUGAACGUCCCUCUGCUCUCCUCCUUCACCAUCGCUUCAUAACGGCUCGAUUCAGUCGGAAACGUCGCGAUUCAGAUAUAGCUUAGCGGUUGAUGCGUCGGUUGGGAAAAGCUCCGAUUUUACCGUCGAUGACGGCGGAGGAUCAGCCUACAGCCAUGGUGAAAGCGUGGGAAGCUUGCGAGUUUCUCAAAGAGUUACCGGAGAUGAAGCUAGGUCACGUUCUUGAGGAGAUCUGUGGGAAUUUCCAUGGGCAUCGAUUUGCGUAGGUUAGAGCGGGGAUGGAGAUGGCUAUGAUUGAUACUGCUGCUAAGAGCGUUGGAUUGAAUUUUUGGAAACUAUUUUGUGGGGCUAGCUUCAAAUACAAUCACCACCGAUGUUACAGUUUGGUUCUAACUUUUAGCUCUUCAUGUACUGUCCCUCUCCUCCUCGUCACCACCGUUCAUCUCAUCCUCGCCUCCUCCUAGAGCAAGAGUAAAAGGGUGACUUUGAAGCAGAACCACAAGCUCCUUAGUAAUGUUAAGGAGGACCAAGAAGGCAAAGGAUGCUAAGAAGCUCGGGCCGUAAUCAUGUGUAAUCUCUGAUUGAGAUUGUAGUCAGCUUGACUAUGUAAUCAGCUUGACCCUUGUCUAAAGCGUAAACCUUUCUCCGGAAUCAGUUUCAGAAGGUUCUUUCUCAGGGAUACAACAACUGUACCUGGAUUCUGCUUUCUUUCUUAUACAAAUUCUUGUUUGACGAGUCCUGUGUGUCUCUCUACUGAAGUAUGCUCUAAUCUCUUUGGUUUUUUGGAGCUCUUCAUUUACUCUUGCAGUCAUCUGGAUAGCUUAUACCAAGAAGAGCAACAGCUCAUGAGGGGGGGACCAAGCAACCAUGUUCAUGAUGAGUUUAUGUGCAGGCUCAAAAUUUUUAAAGGGUCCUCCGAUAGAAUCCUCUUUAAUUUUCUGAUUCCGAAAGAUUGAGAAUCUGUCAAUGUGCGUAUUUGAAUGAUUAGGUUAGGAGGAUACAAGUCUGAUGAUGAGU